AUAUCUCAAAUUGCAAAAUAUUGCGACCCAAGGAAUAAGAUAGGCACUGAAUAAUAUCUUAAGGCAGAUAAAUCCCAAAUCACAGCUUUUAUGUGUGACCCAAGACAACAAAUAGUGCAGCUUUUAAUGAAAGCUACUACUGCAGCUUUUUAUGAAAGCUACUACUUUGUGUAUGAAAUGACAAGCAAGGCAAAAUGAAAAAGGACAGAACUGGGAC
RNAcentral lists this long non-coding RNA (217 nucleotides) under Mytilus galloprovincialis (Mediterranean mussel). Lineage: Eukaryota; Metazoa; Mollusca; Bivalvia; Mytilida; Mytilidae. The record is from RNAcentral.